RNAcentral lists this ribosomal RNA (496 nucleotides) under uncultured bacterium. RNAcentral's name for it is "partial 16S ribosomal RNA". It matches the Rfam family "Bacterial small subunit ribosomal RNA", at positions 28 to 506 of the family's 1533-position model. The record is from RNAcentral.
GAUGAACGCUGGCGGCGUGCCUAAUACAUGCAAGUCGAGCGAACAGACGAGGAGCUUGCUCCUCUGACGUUAGCGGCGGACGGGUGAGUAACACGUGGAUAACCUACCUAUAAGACUGGGAUAACUUCGGGAAACCGGAGCUAAUACCGGAUAAUAUAUUGAACCGCAUGGUUCAAUAGUGAAAGACGGUUUUGCUGUCACUUAUAGAUGGAUCCGCGCCGCAUUAGCUAGUUGGUAAGGUAACGGCUUACCAAGGCAACGAUGCGUAGCCGACCUGAGAGGGUGAUCGGCCACACUGGAACUGAGACACGGUCCAGACUCCUACGGGAGGCAGCAGUAGGGAAUCUCCCGCAAUGGGCGAAAGCUUGACGGAGCAACGCCGCGUGAGUGAUGAAGGUCUUCGGAUCGUAAAACGCUGUUAUUAGGGAAGAACAAAUGUGUAAGUAACUAUGCACGUCUUGACGGUACCUAAUCAGAAAGCCACGGCUAACUACGU